UUGAACGCUGGCGGCAUGCCUUACACAUGCAAGUCGAACGGCAGCACGGGUGCUUGCACCUGGUGGCGAGUGGCGAACGGGUGAGUAAUACAUCGGAACAUGUCCUGUAGUGGGGGGUAGCCCGGCGAAAGCCGGAUUAAUACCGCAUACGAUCCAUGGAUGAAAGCGGGGGACCUUCGGGCCUCGCGCUAUAGGGUUGGCCGAUGGCUGAUUAGCUAGUUGGUGGGGUAAAGGCCCACCAAGGCGACGAUCAGUAGCUGGUCUGAGAGGACGACCAGCCACACUGGGACUGAGACACGGCCCAGACUCCUACGGGAGGCAGCAGUGGGGAAUUUUUGACAAUGGGGGAAACCCUGAUCGAGCGACGCCGCGUGGAGGAUGAAGGUCUUCGGAUUGUAAACUCCUGUCAUUGGGGAACAAUGCACAGAUAUUAACUGUAUUUGUGUUGAUAGUACCCGAAGAGGAAGAGACGGCUAACUCUGUGCCAGCCGCCGCCGUAA
Molecule: ribosomal RNA, 500 nt
Filed under: uncultured bacterium
Lineage: Bacteria
Description: partial 16S ribosomal RNA
Rfam family: Bacterial small subunit ribosomal RNA
Source: RNAcentral